RNAcentral lists this ribosomal RNA (399 nucleotides) under uncultured bacterium. RNAcentral's name for it is "bacterial SSU rRNA". It matches the Rfam family "Bacterial small subunit ribosomal RNA", at positions 510 to 911 of the family's 1533-position model. The record is from RNAcentral.
AGCAGCCGCGGUAAUACGGAGGGUGCAAGCGUUAUCCGGAUUCACUGGGUUUAAAGGGUGUGUAGGCGGAUAUUUAAGUCAGUGGUGAGAUCUCCGGGCUCAACCCGGAAACUGCCGUUGAUACUAUUUAUCUUGAAUUCUGUUGAGGUGGGCGGAAUACAUCAUGUAGCGGUGAAAUGCUUAGAUAUGAUGUAGAACACCGAUUGCGAAGGCAGCUCACUAAGCAGACAUUGACGCUGAGGCACGAAAGCGUGGGGAUCAAACAGGAUUAGAUACCCUGGUAGUCCACGCCCUAAACGAUGAUUACUCGACAUACGCGAUACACAGUGUGUGUCUGAGCGAAGGCAUUAAGUAAUCCACCUGGGAAGUACGACCGCAAGGUUGAAACUCAAAGGAAUU